RNAcentral lists this ribosomal RNA (254 nucleotides) under uncultured bacterium. RNAcentral describes it as "partial 16S ribosomal RNA". It matches the Rfam family "Bacterial small subunit ribosomal RNA", at positions 524 to 776 of the family's 1533-position model. The record is from RNAcentral.
UACGUAGGGGGCAAGCGUUGUCCGGAUUUAUUGGGCGGAAAGAGCUCGUAGGUGGUUCGGUAAGUCGGAUGUGAAAUCUCCAGGCUCAACCUGGAGGGGUCAUUCGAUACUGCCGUGACUAGAGUUCGGUAGGGGAGUGUGGAAUUCCUGGUGGAGCGGUGAAAUGCGCAGAUAUCAGGAGGAACACCCGUAGCGAAGGCGGCACUCUGGGCCGAUACUGACACUGAGGAGCGAAAGCGUGGGGAGCGAACAGG